CAAAGCCACAGUGACUCAUAUUCUUCCCAAAACCAGCCAAUAUGGUUCUCUCUGGAAAAAUAACCUUUGCUCCUUCAAAAGAGAAAACCCGGAAGCUUUGAACAAAUCCAUGGAGAUUCAACAGAACCUUCUCCAAUAUCAAAGCCAAACUACCUCCAAAGACUAAGAUACCUGUUCCCACGCAAGCCAGUCCUUCCUUACCACUUUCUGAACCAGCUCCGGCAUGUCGUUCGUCCAAAUCUGGCCAAUCCCUGUCCGCCGGCCUUCCAUAGCCAAAGCAUGCGCCGCCUUGUUCACUUUUCGAAACACAAAUUUGAAGAGAGUGCAUCCCCUUCCACCUCCACCCGCCGGAGUCCCAUCUUAUGUGCAAAAAUUAAAGCUCGCUCACAAGCCCUCGCCUCCGCCACAAAAGCAUCCGCCACAUUACUGACCAGAUAAUUUUCCCCUCCAAUUACCUCCCCUUUAUGAUUCCUAGCUAAAACUGUUGUUGUAGCUAACCCUGUAGUCUGUGAAAACGAAGCAUCAAAAUUAAUCUUGAUGAUGCCAUCAUUCGGUGGCUUCCAUAACUCAUUCACAGCAGUUCCAACAACAGAACUGAAAUUCACUGUAUGGAAACUUAGUUCUCGUACAUAUCCACGAAUAAAACCUAAGGUUUCCUGCUUUGAGAAAAUAACACCUUCAUGCACUACCUUAUUUCUACAAUGCCAGAGACUCCACAAUGAAAUAGCAAAAAGCUUCCUUGUACUGUUAUCACCCGCCAAAAAAGUUCUAACAAAACUUUCUUUAUGCUCCAGUGAAUCGACAGGAGGAUGAGUCUGCAUUUUUAAAUCGUCCCAAAUGUCCUGCAGAAUAGCACACGUCCACAAGAGAUGAGAAUAAGAUUCUAUUUCAGUCUUACACAGUGGGCAAACUACUUCUUCACACAGCAUCCGUCGAGCCAGAUUCCCGUAGUGAGGCACCAGAUUAUGGAACAACCGCCAUACAUGUAUUUUAACUUUUGCAGGAAUAUCUAAUGCCCAUAGCCCCUUAUAAAAAUUUUUGUACACCUCGGUUUCAGAGGAUAAAUUAGAUUUAUUUUGUAGCAAAUCUGUAACAAGGGCCCUGUAACCACUCUUGACCAUAUAUUCGCCCGUGCCAUCGAAUUUCUAGACUCUUAUGUCUUCUGGACUACUGACCAAAUAGGGAUAGAGAGGAUUCUGCUUGCUGUUUCAUUAUCAACUAGCUUGUGAAUGAGCUCAGCGUUCCAGGUAACCAGGGAUCAUUCCAAAGAUUAAUACAGGUUCCAUUCCCCACCCGCCACACCAACCCAUCCCGAAUAACUUCACGAGCACUGCAAAUGCUUCUCCAGGUAAAUGAGGGGUAAGAACCGACCUUAGCUGAUAAUAUGUCUAAAAACGGAAAGUAACGAGCUUUAAAAACUUUAGCUAAAAGGCAAUUGGGAUAAUUCAAAAUACGCCAAACCUGCUUGGCUAACAAAGCUUUAUUGAACAGAAACAAAUCCCUGAACCCCAUUCCCCCUAU
Molecule: long non-coding RNA, 1521 nt
Organism: Gossypium raimondii (Peruvian cotton)
Lineage: Eukaryota; Viridiplantae; Streptophyta; Magnoliopsida; Malvales; Malvaceae
Exons: 3
Source: RefSeq, a predicted model, not a curated record